GAACACCAGGGAUACCGGUUACUGGGCAUAUAAUAGGUGACCAACCAAGGCGUGAAUUGGGGAAUAUUUCCAAGACACUCAUCAUCCAAUGUCAUAAUAGGGAGCAGAGAGGAAGGAACACCAGGGAUACCGGUUACUGGGCAUAUAAUAGGUGACCAACCAAGGCGUGAAUUGGGGAAUAUUUCCAAGACACUCAUCAUCCAAAAGAGGGCUAAAAAGCAAACUCGAUUACAGGAUGGACAUUCGAUUCCACAAAAGGGGAUACGAAUCUUACUCGACUGGGGAAGAACAAAAGACUUCGAUCAAAGAGUGCAUGAGAUAUAUUAUCUAUUACCGUCAGAACGUAGAUAACAUACUCGCAUGGAAGAUUAUCCACAACCGGUUACUGGUUUAAUAAAGGAUAAAUCGACCGAAAGAAAAGGCAUCGGGAUACCAAAAACUAGGUAUAAAAUGAUGGCCAAUCAAAGGGAGAAACAAUCAUUACCAGCCAAGGGUAAAUGAAAGAUGACUUGCUGAGGAUACAUUGAC
This 528-nucleotide long non-coding RNA is filed under the name Lathyrus oleraceus (garden pea). Its description in RNAcentral is "Pisum sativum (pea) long non-coding RNA (PSAT_LNC026467)". The record is from RNAcentral. Lineage: Eukaryota; Viridiplantae; Streptophyta; Magnoliopsida; Fabales; Fabaceae.